AUGACCUCAAACGACCCAGUCAGAUGGACCACAAGGAGCUUCACUUCAGCCAGCUUUUCUUCCUUUCCUGACUCAUCACACUUCAGAGUAUGCUGGAAGAGUCUGGGGAAGUUACCAGUGCAGAGCUAGAGAAAGCAGGAGAAAAGGGAGCAUCAGCCCCUGUGUGGUCAAGUGAGGAUACAGUAAGAAGGCAGCCAUCUACAAGCCAGGAAGAGAAACUCCAGGCUCAGAAUAAACAAGAACCUGACCAUGCUGGCAUCUUGCUCUUGGACCUUCACCCUCCAGAACCGUGAGAAAUAAGUGUCUAUUGUUUAAGCCACCCCGUCUAUGAUAUUUUGUUACAGCAGCCUGAGCUGACUAAAACUCAUCUUAAAAACUCUGUGCCUGGGGCUUUUUUUUUGAGGCAAGAUCUCUGAUUA
Kogia breviceps (pygmy sperm whale) is the source of this 419-nucleotide non-coding RNA. Lineage: Eukaryota; Metazoa; Chordata; Mammalia; Artiodactyla; Physeteridae. The record is from RefSeq and is a predicted model, not a curated record.